GACGAACGCUGGCGGCGUGCUUAACACAUGCAAGUCGAACGGAAAGGCCUCUUUCGGGGGGUACUCGAGUGGCGAACGGGUGAGUAACACGUGAGUAACCUGCCCUUGACUUUGGGAUAACUUCAGGAAACUGGGGCUAAUACCGGAUAGGAGCUCCUGCUGCAUGGUGGGGGUUGGAAAGUUUCGGCGGUUGGGGAUGGACUCGCGGCUUAUCAGCUUGUUGGUGGGGUAGUGGCGUACCAAGGCUUUGACGGGUAGCCGGCCUGAGAGGGUGGCCGGCCACAUUGGGACUGAGGUACGGCCCAGACUCCUACGGGAGGCAGCAGGGGGGAAUAUUGCACAAUGGGUGGAAGCCUGAUGCAGCAACGCCGUGUGCGGGAUGACGGCCUUCGGGUUGUAAACCGCUUUCGCUCAUGACGAAGCUUUGUGUGACGGUAGUGGGUAAAGAAGCACCGGCUAACUACGUG
Molecule: ribosomal RNA, 467 nt
Filed under: uncultured bacterium
Lineage: Bacteria
Description: partial 16S ribosomal RNA
Rfam family: Bacterial small subunit ribosomal RNA
Source: RNAcentral